Molecule: ribosomal RNA, 521 nt
Filed under: uncultured bacterium
Lineage: Bacteria
Description: bacterial SSU rRNA
Rfam family: Archaeal small subunit ribosomal RNA
Source: RNAcentral
AACCUCCGCAAUGUGAGAAAUCGCGACGGGGGGAUCCCAAGUGCUAUUCUUAACGGGAUGGCUUUUCAUUAGUGUAAAGAGCUUUUGGAAUAAGGGCUGGGCAAGACCGGUGCCAGCCGCCGCGGUAACACCGGCAGCUCUAGUGGUAGCAGUUUUUAUUGGGCCUAAAGCGUCCGUAGCCGGUUUAAUAAGUCUCUGGUGAAAUCCUGUAGCUUAACUGUGGGAAUUGCUGGAGAUACUAUUAGACUUGAGAUCGGGAGAGGUUAGAGGUACUCCCAGGGUAGAGGUGAAAUUCUGUAAUCCUGGGAGGACCGCCUGUUGCGAAGGCGUCUAACUGGAACGAUUCUGACGGUGAGGGACGAAAGUUAGGGGCGCGAACCGGAUUAGAUACCCGGGUAGUCCUAACUGUAAACGAUGCGGACUUGGUGUUGGGGUGGCUUUGAGCUGCUCCAGUGCCGAAGGGAAGCUGUUAAGUCCGCCGCCUGGGAAGUACGGUCGCAAGACUGAAACUUAAAGGAAUU